CCUACGGGUGGCAGCAGUGAGGAAUAUUGGUCAAUGGCCGGGAGGCUGAACCAGCCAAGUCGCGUGAGGGAAGACGGCCCUACGGGUUGUAAACUUCUUUUGUCAGGGAGAAAGGUGCAGGUCGGGACCUGUUGUGAGAGUACCUUAAGAACAAGCAUCGCCUAACUCCGUGCCAGCAGCCGCGGUAAUAGGGGGGAUGCGAGCGUUCUCCGGAUUACUGGGGGUUAACGGGUGCGUGGGCGGAGGCACAAUUAAGCGGGAAAAUCGCGGGCUUAAACCCCGCAUCGCAUUUGCACUUGUGUCCCUUGAGUGCGGGAAGGGGAGGCGGAAUGCGUGGUGGAGCGGUGAAAUGCAGAGAGAUGACGAAGAACUCCGAACGCGAAGGCAGCCUACCGGCACGCAACUGACGCUCAUGUGCGAAAGCGUGGGUAUCAAACAGGAUUAGAUACCCCAGUAGUC
RNAcentral lists this ribosomal RNA (459 nucleotides) under uncultured bacterium. Its description in RNAcentral is "partial 16S ribosomal RNA". It matches the Rfam family "Bacterial small subunit ribosomal RNA", at positions 338 to 795 of the family's 1533-position model. The record is from RNAcentral.